RNAcentral lists this ribosomal RNA (492 nucleotides) under uncultured bacterium. RNAcentral describes it as "partial 16S ribosomal RNA". It matches the Rfam family "Bacterial small subunit ribosomal RNA", at positions 29 to 507 of the family's 1533-position model. The record is from RNAcentral.
AGUGAACGCUGGCGGUAGGCCUAACACAUGCCAGUCGAACGGCAGCACAGUAAGAGCUUGCUCUUACGGGUGGCGAGUGGCGGACGGGUGAGGAAUAAAUCGGAAUCUACUUUUUCGUGGGGGAUAACGUAGGGAAACUAACGCUAAUACCGCAUACGACCUACGGGUGAAAGCAGGGGAUCUUCGGACCUUGCGCGAUUGACUGAGCCGAUGUCGGAUUAGCUAGUUGGCGGGGUAAAGGCCCACCAAGGCGACGAUCCGUAGCUGGCCUGAGAGGAUGAUCAGCCACACUGGAACUGAGACACGGUCCAGACUCCUACGGGAGGCAGCAGUGGGGAAUAUUGGACAAUGGGCGCAAGCCUGAUCCAGCCAUACCGCGUGGGUGAAGAAGGCCUUCGGGUUGUAAAGCCCUUUUGUUGGGAAAGAAAAGCAGCAGGUUAAUACCCCGCUGUUCUGACGGUACCCAAAGAAUAAGCACCGGCUAACUUCGUG